RNAcentral lists this long non-coding RNA (305 nucleotides) under Homo sapiens (human). Its description in RNAcentral is "non-protein coding lnc-RNGTT-1:1". The record is from RNAcentral. Lineage: Eukaryota; Metazoa; Chordata; Mammalia; Primates; Hominidae.
UCUGAAAUGGGAGAUUGGCAGGACUUGCUUUCUGGUCAUAACCCUGAUGACCAAAGAAGCAUUAUGGACCUGUCUGCUCCAGGCAGGAUAUCUUCUAAGAGCUGCACAGUCACUGCCCCGCCCUCACACCCAUCAUCAGUCAGACAUGAAACAAAGGAAAUCCUCCCAGUCCUAGGCUAAACCCCAUCAGAGAAGUUAAAUGCUUAAUCUGUUAGCCCAGCAAGUUAUAAAGAUAUUUGUAGUAUUCUUUGAUGGCAGUUUGUAUUUCUGUGGGAUCGGUGGUGAUAUCCCCUUUAUCAUUUUUU